AUGAAGACGAUCCUGGCGUCGGAGACGAUGGAGAUCCCGGAGGAGGUGACCGUCAAGGUCUCCGCCAAGAUGAUCUCGGUGACGGGGCCGCGGGGGACGCUGACCCGCAACUUCAAGCACCUCAACCUCGACUUCCAGCUGCAGGAGGGCGGGCGGAAGCUCAAGGUGGACGCCUGGUUCGGCACCCGCAAGACCAUGGCCGCCAUCCGCACCGCCAUCUCCCACGUCCAGAACCUCAUCACCGGCGUCACCAAGGGCUUCCGCUACAAGAUGCGCUUCGUCUACGCUCACUUCCCCAUCAACGCCUCCAUCACCGCCGCCAACCGCGGCAUCGAGAUCAGGAACUUCCUCGGAGAAAAGAAGGUAAGGAAAGUUGACAUGCUUGAUGGUGUGACGAUCCUGCGGUCUGAGAAGGUCAAGGACGAGAUCGUCCUGGAUGGCAAUGACAUUGAGCUCGUCUCUCGCUCUGCUGCCCUGAUCAACCAGAAAUGCCACGUGAAGAACAAGGACAUCAGGAAGUUCUUGGACGGAAUCUACGUCAGCGACAAGGGCGCCAUCAAGGAAGAGUAG
RNAcentral lists this ribosomal RNA (570 nucleotides) under Triticum aestivum (bread wheat). Its description in RNAcentral is "partial small subunit ribosomal RNA". Lineage: Eukaryota; Viridiplantae; Streptophyta; Magnoliopsida; Poales; Poaceae. The record is from RNAcentral.